GUGCACCAGGCGAGAAACUUUACAAUGUGCGAAAGCACGAUAAGGGAACUCUGAGUGCCUCCUAAGGAGGCUGUUCAGGUGUCUAAAAGCACCUGAAGGAAGGGCUGGGUAAGACCGGUGCCAGCCGCCGCGGUAACACCGGCAGCCCAAGUGGUAGCCACGUUUAUUGGGUCUAAAGCGUCCGUAGCCGGCUGGGUAAGUUCCUUGGGAAAUUUGGCUGCUUAACAGUCAAGCUUUCAGGGAAUACUGCCCGGCUUGGGACCGGGAGAGGUCAGAGGUACUCCAGGGGUAGGGGUGAAAUCCAUUAAUCCUUGGGGGACCACCGGUAGCGAAGGCGUCUGACCAGACCGGGUCCGACGGUGAGGGACGAAGGCUA
Molecule: ribosomal RNA, 376 nt
Filed under: uncultured microorganism
Description: bacterial SSU rRNA
Rfam family: Archaeal small subunit ribosomal RNA
Source: RNAcentral